AAGUCGUAACAAGGUUUCCGUAGGUGAACCUGCGGAAGGAUCAUUAACACGUAUCCAACGUUAAAACAACCCCCGUGAACUUUCAGCUUGCUCCUGUAGCCCGUGAAAACAGCAAUCCCUGGUAAAUCAUUGUUGACCAGCUUUUGAGUCAGGGACCUCUGCCGAUUGUGAUAUUUUAUAGCUACGGUUGAGCGAUUGCAUCUAGUGACCUGGCAUCCCCAAGUAAUCAGUGUCUGAAAGUGUCAUUGAUUAUGUAAGGAUGGCGCAGUCACGAUCCCUUUACGACAACACAGUACGAAUUGGCCGCGCGUGAAAUUCGCACGGCACCAAAAACCGAACAACUGUUAACAAUGGAUAUCUUGGUUCUC
Molecule: unclassified non-coding RNA, 368 nt
Filed under: fungal sp.
Lineage: Eukaryota; Fungi
Description: partial internal transcribed spacer region
Rfam family: Eukaryotic small subunit ribosomal RNA (bases 1-46)
Source: RNAcentral